GGGCGCUACUCCACAAAAUAGCCCCGAUUCCGCUAAAAUGAAGGAGGAACCCCCGUCAGACUCACGGUGCGGCAGUGUGGAGACCUGUCGUAAUGCCGCUGCUGUUUUACCCGGCAGCGCGCGAGGGCAUACAUUGAGGAUUCAGUAUGUCCGGAGUCAGAAAACAAUGGCA
Molecule: non-coding RNA, 172 nt
Filed under: human gut metagenome
Description: malK-I RNA
Rfam family: malK-I RNA
Source: RNAcentral